AACUUUUGGCAAUGGAUCACUUGGCUCUCGCAUCGAUGAGGAACGCAGCGAAAUGCGAUAAGUAUGUGAAUUGCAGAAUUCAGUGAAUCAUCGAAUCUUUGAACGCACCUUGCGCUCCUUGGUAUUCCGAGGAGCAUGCCUGUUUGAGUGUCAUUAAAUUCUCAACCUUAUCAGCUUUUGCUGAUAGUGGCUUGGAUGUGGGGUUGCUGGCUCCUUUAUCGAGGUCAGCUUCCCUUAAAUGCAUUAGCUGGUGCCCCGUGUGGACUUGUCUAUUGGUGUGAUAAUUAUCUACGCCGUGGAUGUCUGCAAUUUUGCACUGCUUCUAACCGUCUGUUCAUUCGGACAAUACAUGACAAUUUGACCUCAAAUCAGGUAGGACUACCCGCUGAACUUAAGCAUAUCAAUAAGCGGAGGCU
RNAcentral lists this unclassified non-coding RNA (416 nucleotides) under uncultured Hymenogaster. Its description in RNAcentral is "sequence contains ITS2". The stretch from base 1 to 153 matches the Rfam family "5.8S ribosomal RNA". The record is from RNAcentral. Lineage: Eukaryota; Fungi; Basidiomycota; Agaricomycetes; Agaricales; Hymenogastraceae.